RNAcentral lists this ribosomal RNA (253 nucleotides) under uncultured bacterium. RNAcentral describes it as "partial 16S ribosomal RNA". It matches the Rfam family "Bacterial small subunit ribosomal RNA", at positions 524 to 776 of the family's 1533-position model. The record is from RNAcentral.
UACGAAGGGGGCUAGCGUUGCUCGGAAUCACUGGGCGUAAAGGGUGCGUAGGCGGGUCUUUCAGUCAGGGGUGAAAUCCUGGAGCUCAACUCCAGAACUGCCUUUGAUACUGAGGAUCUUGAGUCCGGGAGAGGUGAGUGGAACUGCGAGUGUAGAGGUGAAAUUCGUAGAUAUUCGCAAGAACACCAGUGGCGAAGGCGGCUCACUGGCCCGGUACUGACGCUGAGGCACGAAAGCGUGGGGAGCAAACAGG